GAUGAACGCUGGCGGCGUGCCUAAUACAUGCAAGUCGAGCGAACAGAUGAGGAGCUUGCUCCUCUGACGUUAGCGGCGGACGGGUGAGUAACACGUGGAUAACCUACCUAUAAGACUGGGAUAACUUCGGGAAACCGGAGCAAAUACGGGAUAAUAUUUGGAACCCCAGGGUUCAUUAGUGAAAGAGGUUUUUGUUGUCACUAAUAGAGGGAUCCGCGCCGCAUUAGCUAGUUGGUAAGGUAACGGCUUACCAAGGCGACGAUGCGUAGCCGACCUGAGAGGGUGAUCGGCCACACUGGAACUGAGACACGGUCCAGACUCCUACGGGAGGCAGCAGUAGGGAAUCUUCCGCAAUGGGCGAAAGCCUGACGGAGCAACGCCGCGUGAGUGAUGAAGGUCUUCGGAUCGUAAAACUCUGUUAUUAGGGAAGAACAAAUGUGUAAGUAACUAUGCACGUCUUGACGGUACCUAAUCAGAAAGCCACGGCUAACUACGUG
Molecule: ribosomal RNA, 497 nt
Filed under: uncultured bacterium
Lineage: Bacteria
Description: partial 16S ribosomal RNA
Rfam family: Bacterial small subunit ribosomal RNA
Source: RNAcentral